GCUUGUUUCGGCAAGCACGUACGCUAAAUUGGAUACGAUACAGAGAAGAUUAGCAUGGCCCCUGUGUAAGG
This 71-nucleotide small nuclear RNA is filed under the name Maylandia zebra (zebra mbuna). Lineage: Eukaryota; Metazoa; Chordata; Actinopteri; Cichliformes; Cichlidae. The record is from RNAcentral.